UACGAAGGGGGGCUAGCGUUGUUCGGAAUUACUGGGCGUAAAGCGCGCGCAGGCGGUCUUCCAAGUCAGUGGUGAAAGCCCGGAGCUCAACUCCGGAACUGCCAUUGAAACUGUGAGACUUGAGGAUGAGAGAGGUGAGUGGGAAUUCCCAGUGUAGAGGUGAAAUUCGUAGAUAUUGGGAAGAACACCGGUGGCGAAGGCGGCUCACUGGCUCAUUUCUGACGCUCAGGCGCGACAGCGUGGGGAUCAAACAGG
This 255-nucleotide ribosomal RNA is filed under the name uncultured bacterium. RNAcentral describes it as "partial 16S ribosomal RNA". It matches the Rfam family "Bacterial small subunit ribosomal RNA", at positions 524 to 776 of the family's 1533-position model. The record is from RNAcentral.